GACGAACGCUGGCGGCGUGCUUAACACAUGCAAGUCGAACGGAAAGGCCCUGCUUUUGUGGGGUGCUCGAGUGGCGAACGGGUGAGUAACACGUGAGUAACCUGCCCUUGACUUUGGGAUAACUUCAGGAAACUGGGGCUAAUACCGGAUAUGAGCUCCUGCUGCAUGGUGGGGGUUGGAAAGUUUCGGCGGUUGGGGAUGGACUCGCGGCUUAUCAGCUUGUUGGUGGGGUAGUGGCUUACCAAGGCUUUGACGGGUAGCCGGCCUGAGAGGGUGACCGGCCACAUUGGGACUGAGAUACGGCCCAGACUCGUACGGGAGGCAGCAGUGGGGAAUAUUGCAGAAUGGGCGGAAGCCUGAUGCAGCAACGCCGCGUGCGGGAUGACGGCCUUCGGGUUGUAAACCGCUUUCGCCUGUGACGAAGCGUGAGUGACGGUAAUGGGUAAAGAAGCACCGGCUAACUACGUG
RNAcentral lists this ribosomal RNA (468 nucleotides) under uncultured bacterium. RNAcentral describes it as "partial 16S ribosomal RNA". It matches the Rfam family "Bacterial small subunit ribosomal RNA", at positions 28 to 507 of the family's 1533-position model. The record is from RNAcentral.